Molecule: non-coding RNA, 29 nt
Filed under: Rattus norvegicus (Norway rat)
Lineage: Eukaryota; Metazoa; Chordata; Mammalia; Rodentia; Muridae
Source: RNAcentral
UCAUUUCGCUAAAGAACCAGGUCCCUCUC